RNAcentral lists this ribosomal RNA (253 nucleotides) under uncultured bacterium. RNAcentral describes it as "partial 16S ribosomal RNA". It matches the Rfam family "Bacterial small subunit ribosomal RNA", at positions 524 to 776 of the family's 1533-position model. The record is from RNAcentral.
UACGUAGGGGGCUAGCGUUGUCCGGAUUUAUUGGGCGUAAAGAGCGUGUAGGCGGCCAGGUAGGUCUGCUGUGAAAACUCGAGGCUCAACCUCGAGACGUCGGCGGAAACCAUCUGGCUAGAGUCCGGAAGAGGAGAGUGGAAUUCCUGGUGUAGCGGUGAAAUGCGCAGAUAUCAGGAAGAACAUCCGUGGCGAAGGCGGCUCUCUGGGACGGUACUGACGCUGAGACGCGAAAGCGUGGGGAGCGAACAGG